AAUACAUACUGAAAGAUUGCCGUGUUAAUAAUGGAGAUUCAACAAACUGCACAAAGCUUAUAAAGAGUACAUGAAUGUUUAGCAAAGAGAAGAAAUACAGCUUUGAUAAUCAAGUGUAAAAUCCAUUUGCAAAUCUUACAGGGUAAGCUUGAUGAUUACCAGGAACGAAUGAACAAAGGGGAAAGGCUUAAUCAAGAUCAGCUGGAUGCCGUUUCUAAGUACCAGGAAGUCACAAAUAAUUUGGAGUUUGCAAAAGAAUUACAGAGGAGUUUCAUGGCACUAAGUCAAGAUAUUCAGAAAACAAUAAAGAAGACAGCACGUCGGGAGCAGCUUAUGAGAGAAGAAGCUGAACAGAAACGUUUAAAAACUGUACUUGAGCUACAGUAUGUUUUGGACAAAUUGGGAGAUGAUGAAGUGCGGACUGACCUG
This 429-nucleotide small RNA is filed under the name Pan troglodytes (chimpanzee). RNAcentral describes it as "processed transcript". Lineage: Eukaryota; Metazoa; Chordata; Mammalia; Primates; Hominidae. The record is from RNAcentral.